GCACCUAAUAUGUUGCGGAGAGGCCACCUUAUAGCAGAAGGUACAUUUCACUUACUUUCUUGAAUUGAUAUUUGCAUUCCACGCUAAAAUUGUGGUUUGUUACCGAUUUUUCUUUUCUUUUAGGACUGCAAGUACAUACUUUCUGAACCAUGGGUAGAGGAUGUGCUCCAUUGGUAGACAGCGAUAUGAAUCCAUCAGCUUUCCUUUAUUUCACCACAAAUAGCAGCUAACUUUUGAUAGCCAUCUGCCACUUUUAGGCGCCUCUUUUUGGCUUGCAGUCUACUAUGAAAGGCUGAAGAGAUAAAAAAAACAGAAGAGAAUGCCAUUGCAGUCGACAGGAGUUAGACAUUCACCAUGAGGUGAUGAUGCUUUCCUGUUGUUGUAAGCAUCAAUUAUAUCAUGCAGACAUAGAUCACACAUAGAUGCCUUGUGUAUUGUUUCCGUGGCAUGAUUGACAAGUUGUGAACACCUUCCCUAGCCUUAUUGUUGAUUGGAAUGUUUGUGUUUCAUGAUCAAGAUUAACAGCUUGCGUGGAAGGGCAGUUUCUCUUCUGGUUUACUAUUUGUUUCUUACGGUUCAAUUCCAUUGUACCACAAGUCCAACAACCACCAACUACAUCUUGCCUUGGGAGUUUCAGUUCCAGCUUAAUUAGCAGGUUCGCCAGUUCACCGGCGACUCAAAAAGUCAAAAUUGGACUCGAAGCUUGGCUGUUCUAUCCAAACAACGGUGAUGUCCUGAUGGAGGGUUGAGCGGUUCUGCGUAAUCCACCAUUUGAAAGAAUACAGGCGACCACCUACUCCCCUGUCCACGCCGCCAUCUUUUUCCUCAACUUGUGCUAUGCCGUGCGCUCGCUGUCAGCUGUCGCUGGCGGCCAGCUCCACACCCGCUCCAUGCAUCUUCCUCCUACUUGUUAGUUAGAGUACAUGAUCGCUAGGCACAUCCUCCAAACUCUGUAGCGUGCUAACACAAGGUACCAACUUGGUAGGCUAGUCGUUUAGUUAAUCCUGCUGCUCAUUGUUGCACUAAGGAAGCUUUAGCUAUAGAGGAUGUUUGAAC
Long non-coding RNA from Triticum dicoccoides, 1056 nucleotides. RefSeq lists it as uncharacterized. The transcript has 5 exons. The record is from RefSeq and is a predicted model, not a curated record. Lineage: Eukaryota; Viridiplantae; Streptophyta; Magnoliopsida; Poales; Poaceae.